AUCGCGGAGUGAUUUAUUAUUAGCUGUGAAAAGUCCGAGUUGGGAUGUCCUGGGAUAUUCCAACUCAUGGAACGUCUCUCGUCCAAUCAGAAACAGCUAAAUAAUUUGAUAGAACCCAAUUGUUUUAUAAUGGACACUAAUGAGACUUACACCACCUAAUUACAUCUCUGCUGUGAUUCGGCCAGACUUACACCACCUAAUUACAUCUCUGCUGUGAUUGGACGAGACUUACACCACCUAAUUACAUCUGUGCUGUGAUUGGACGACUGAGACUUACACCACCUAAUUACAUCUCUGGGCUGGUCUGUAGAAUGUUGAGGUGGUCUGUAGAAUGUUGAGGUGGUCUGUAGUAGACUGAUGUGGUCUGUAGAAUGUUGAGGUGGUCUGUAGAAUGUUGAGGUGGUCUGUAGUAGGCUGAGGUGGUCUGUAGAAUGUUGUGGUGGUCUGUAGAAUGUUGAGGUGGUCUGUAGAAUGUUGUGGUGGUCUGUAGUAGGCUGAGGUGGUCUGUAGAAUGUUGAGGUGGUCUGUAGAAUGUUGAGGUGGUCUGUAGUAAGCUGAGGUGGUCUGUAGAAUGUUGAGGUGGUCUGUAGAAUGUUGAGGUGGUCUGUAGUAAGCUGAGGUGGUCUGUAGAAUGUUGAGGUGGUCUGUAGAAUGUUGAGGUGGUCUGUAGAAUGUUGUGGUGGUCUGUAGUGGGCUGAGGUGGUCUGUAGAAUGUUGAGGUGGUCUGUAGAAUGUUGAGGUGGUCUGUAGUGGUCUGUGGUGGUCUGUGGGGCUGAAUAGAGUGGCAUGUUGCACAGGUUACAGUUUUUCUCGAUUGCUUUGGCACAUUUUUCCAUUCACUGUUUAC
Molecule: long non-coding RNA, 847 nt
Organism: Clupea harengus (Atlantic herring)
Lineage: Eukaryota; Metazoa; Chordata; Actinopteri; Clupeiformes; Clupeidae
Source: Ensembl